Molecule: ribosomal RNA, 483 nt
Filed under: uncultured Actinomycetes bacterium
Lineage: Bacteria; Bacillati; Actinomycetota; Actinomycetes
Description: bacterial SSU rRNA
Rfam family: Bacterial small subunit ribosomal RNA
Source: RNAcentral
UGGGGAAUCUUGCGCAAUGCGCGAAAGCGUGACGCAGCAACGCCGCGUGGGCGAAGAAGGCCUUCGGGUCGUAAAGCCCUUUCAGCAGGGACGAAGCUCCGGCAGCGAAUAGCUGUCCGGAGUGACGGUACCUGCAGAAGAAGCCCCGGCUAACUACGUGCCAGCAGCCGCGGUAAUACGUAGGGGGCUAGCGUUGUCCGGAAUCAUUGGGCGUAAAGCGCGCGUAGGCGGCCAGAUAAGUCCGGUGUGAAAGACACAGGCUCAACCUGUGAAUGCCGCUGGAAACUGUCUGGCUAGAGUCCGGAAGGGGCGAGUGGAAUUCCUGGUGUAGCGGUGAAAUGCGCAGAUAUCAGGAGGAACACCAAUGGCGAAGGCAGCUCGCUGGGACGGUACUGACGCUGAGGCGCGAAAGCGUGGGGAGCAAACAGGAUUAGAUACCCUGGUAGUCCACGCCGUAAACGAUGGGCACUAGGUGUCGGAGGU